Molecule: long non-coding RNA, 360 nt
Filed under: Ananas comosus (pineapple)
Lineage: Eukaryota; Viridiplantae; Streptophyta; Magnoliopsida; Poales; Bromeliaceae
Description: long non-coding RNA (ACOM_LNC005930)
Source: RNAcentral
AUGUAAAUUUUAUAAAUAUAUAUAUAUAUAUUUAGAGAGAGAGAGAGAGAGAGAGUUUGGUUUUUGAAGCAUAGUAACACCUGUACUGUCAAGUCAUUUUCAACGAUUGGACUUUCAAAUCAACAAUCGGCCUACUAAUUCAGGGACGUGUUUGAUUCACUUCUUUUUCACCCUAGAAUCGAAAUCAGAGUUGGCGAACUCGUUUGUAGGUGUUUGGUACGCGAGAGUUCCAUUCCGAUUUCGAUUUCCGAGUGAAAUUAAUGGGAAUCUCCUAAUCACCUCUUUUUUCAAUCCGGACUAAGAGGCCGGAUUGAAAGUUGAAUCCGAACGGAAUGAAUAUUUAUUCGGAUUAAAUUUAUU